RNAcentral lists this long non-coding RNA (415 nucleotides) under Vitis vinifera (wine grape). RNAcentral describes it as "long non-coding RNA (VVIN_LNC003222)". The record is from RNAcentral. Lineage: Eukaryota; Viridiplantae; Streptophyta; Magnoliopsida; Vitales; Vitaceae.
CCCUUUUCUGAAGUUGCCCUCCAGCCGAGAGAAUCCCUAAAAGGCCAUAUUUUCCUCUGCCACUCUCAAUCCUCACAGGUACUAAUCUAAUCAUGUUAUUAUUAUUAUUAUUUUUUUUUGCAACCCCCGUUUGAUUCCCAAGAAAAUCCAUCCCCCAUUCGAUUUCCGGGAAAAUUCAUCCUCGUUUGAUUUCCGAGAAAAUCCAAGCAAAAACCCUGCAACCCCCGUUUGAUUCCCAAGAAAAUCCAUCCCCCAUUCGAUUUCCGGGAAAAUUCAUCCUCGUUUGAUUUCCGAGAAAAUCCAAGCAAAAACCCUGCAACCCCUGUUUGAUUCCCAAGAAAAUCCAUCCCCCAUUCGAUUUCCGGGAAAAUUCAUCCUCGUUUGAUUUCCGAGAAAAUCCAAGCAAAAACCCUAC